Dipodomys spectabilis (banner-tailed kangaroo rat) is the source of this 596-nucleotide long non-coding RNA. RefSeq lists it as uncharacterized. The record is from RefSeq and is a predicted model, not a curated record. Lineage: Eukaryota; Metazoa; Chordata; Mammalia; Rodentia; Heteromyidae. The transcript has 3 exons.
GAGUGAUGAAUAGGAAGAUAACCAUCCACACUUUAGUAUCUAGGAGUUCCUGUUUCCAUCAGUUCCUGCCAAUAUCUUGUUUUUUUAAACUUUUGCCAGUUAGUCUGCUUGGAUUGCAAAGGAACUAAAGCACCCUCCUUGACCUUUUUCAUAGUUGGAAAUAAUCUUACAAGCCUUCCCAAAGAUAAUGUGCAGUGUUCUAGUAAUAAUGUUAAAUGAUUUGAAAAAUGAACUAUGAGAUGACAACCACAUGCUGCUACAUCACUGUUAAUAUUCAAUCAUUCCUGAUCUGAUAUGUAUUAGUGAAGACUGAGUGCAUGCAAGAACAGUCCUAGGUGUUGAGUAUUCAUGGGUGAAUCAGACAUACAUGCUGUCCCAAGGAGAUGAGAAGCUGGUUCUUUUACUGAGUCGCACCACCAACUGUGUGCUACAGAGUGGAUAAACAUGAGCUCUGUGUUCAAAGAGCUUAUAGACUGAGCUUGCUCUUCCAAGACUGAUGAAGCCAAGUUGUGCUUUCUUGUUCAAGACCAGCAGAAGAGGAAAAGCAUUCUCCAGGACUCUUGAGACGCUCUUAAAUCUGGUUGAGCUAUACCUUU